UCUCCUCCUCCAGCCAGAAGGUCUUUGGCUCCGGCCGGCUCGAGCGGAAUUCUGCCGCAAAGGAGUCCUCAUGCUGCCCACCUCCUCCAGCUCUUUGCUAUGCUCGGUGGAGGCCAUUGGACCUGUCGACAGAAAGAGGAAUAUUCUCCUUGAUGCACCCCAUCUAUUUAUUGUGGAGACACGAAUGCAGCGGUGGCUAUGAUGAGAGGAUCGUGCCUAUUUGUCUGUCAGACAUCCAGCUUCACUCUCUCCACAGCGUGAGACUGCAGUCAUAACAGCUCUUGUAAGGGCGUCUCCGCAAACAUGCAUAAUGGAUACCAGCAACACAGCCACAUCAUAAGUCAAAGUUUGAUCACGCAUCAAAAAAGCAACAUGAACAUCCAACAUUUUCCAUUUGUAGUUAGAAGCUGAAAAAAGUCAUGCGAGUUUGGAAGGACGUGAGGAUGAGUAUAUCCACAUUACAUCACAUUAAAUUCAUGUUCGCAGUUUAUUUGCACAUCCUUCUGUGUUACAGUCUCUGACAAAUUACGCUGCAGUCCUUAGCGUGAAACCAUAGAGGAUAUCCAGGGGUCUCAUGCCAACCCAGGACAGACGACGAGCGACAAGCCUGCGCAAGAUCUCUAAGUUUAAUAGUGAAAAAUAGCGUUGUUGACAGCUUGCAUGAAAUCGCUCUUUUCCAAAAAGCUGAGAUAAAGCUCAGAGAUCUGAUCUUCAGAUCUUCAGCCCUCACCUGGACGAAGAAGACAAACCAAGUAUCUGAAAUGACACCAUCUCCAGACCUCUGUGCGUGCAUGUGCGUGCGUGUUUGCUCCCCAGACUGUAUUUUUGAAAGGAUUCAUCCCGUGCUUCCGUGACUUUGAAAGAUGAUGCGUCGAUACCGGACUCGGACUGACAACUCUGAGUGUUUCCACAAUAUGAAGUGUUUACAUACCAGACUUGAGAGUGGAAGACAGAUUGCUUUCAGGGUGAAUUAUGAACUGCUCAAUGCGCUCGAGAUUCGGCCAUUCUUGAGGGGAAGCCCAUUACAAGGCGAGCAGAUUGAGGUAUGCGCAGACGAGAUUAGCAGGGCCGCAGCCGUUCUGCUGGGUGACACUCAAUGCAUGCGGUAGCGAAGCCACUGUCGCCUGUUGCACCAUGACUUCUCCUCCCCGUCCCCACCCUCUUUCAACCUGAGAAAAAGCGGUGCAUAGAUCAGCCCCAACGUACGGAUGCCAAUUUCCAACAAACUCCCAGUGUCCUGGAAAAGCGUUUGUCUGAAGAUGAAAGGCUUCACACCCGCUGCCUACACACCGAGCCGCUUCCAACACCUUCCCGCGACAGCGCGCAGCUCCGGCUCCCUGCGGCUCCCUCACCUCCAUCUCACGAUGGAGAUAAUACUACUAAUAACGACAAGCAGGCAGUCUGACCCGGAUCAGACGUUAGCUACUGAGCCUGAUCCCGUCCUUCCACACACAUGCAGGGAGAGUGAAAAACGACACUCACCGUAAUGCAAGAUUUCCAUUCUCUGCAAGAACAAAAGGCCUGAUGAAAAUCUGAGCAGAGGUACACUGGGUACUGCACGAAUUUUCUGUCAUCCAAUAAACAGGAAGGGUUGCAUUUCUCAUAUUGAAUGGACCUUGGCUCCUUGUGGAAUUGUUUUCUGUGGUCAUCCGCCCCAGGCAAGCAUGUCAGUAACACCCUCUUCAGACCUAACAACGUGAGCCCCUUCCACUUGAAGACUUCGUUAUUUGUGAAGUAAUCCUCUCAUGAGGUACUGUCCAAUGCAAAGUCUGAAGGUGCUUAUCCUCUAGUGAACUAAAUUUAGCCAGGAGAUAAUUUGUAGAAGAACACUGUCCAGGUUUUAUGUAUGGCUGGUAUCUGCUCAAACAUACCUUAGUCGAUUUAGGCAUUUUAAUGAGAGGAUUAAUGUAAAAUUGAACACAAGGCAAACAUAAAUUUACAAAAUGUAAAAUAUGAAUGGCAUGUUGUAAUGCUGAAGAAAGACAUAUGAGAGCAUUCAUGACUUAAAUGUGGUUGUAAAGUCCACCAAAUUAUGCACCAAAUUACUUUUAAUCCUCUUUGUGUGUUGUGACAUUUUAAGCAACUUUCGUAUGCUGUUUCUUUUUAAAUUCAGAGCUGCCAAUUUUUCCUUGUUGCUGUUAUUAGACGUAUUCAUGAUGCACCUGGCAUAUCUGACCUCACAGGAAGUACUUGGAUGUUUACAGGAAGCUCUUUGAGGAGCAGCGUGACAAAAUAUUUAAAAGAAAAAGGGGUCCAUCAACACCAUCACAACCUCUUUCUCGCACUUAUCAGGAGGAAGAAGCGAGGGGCUACGUCAAGGCCAAAGCCAACAGCGAGCAUGAUAACUCAAUGAGAAUGAGAGGAGUCAUCACUUUUCCUGUUUUAAUUAGUAACAUCAGCUCCUCAACAGGCAAUCAUGUCAUCUGCUUCCUUCCAGGCGUUGAUUAUAGAUUUCGAGUGAAAGAUAUUGUACAGAACCCGGAAUAUGAUAAAUUCUGAAGUGCAAUAUUCUGACAGCUGCAAUAAUGGAAUACAAUUUUCACACGGGCCCAAUUGAGACAUAAUCAUGCCCCCGCUCUCUAACCCAGGCUCAACAUGUUGAUGUUUCUAGAAGCUUGCUGAAUUACAAACCUGCUUCCACUCAUGGGGUUUUGAUUUUACCUGAUUCAGGAGGUUGUUAAAUGUGCACGAUCAUGGAGUCAUUUAUCACACGCUCUCUGUUCGCCGGUCACAGUCCCAGUAUGCCGUUCCAGGUGCACCCUUGCUGCACACAAAUCACAUCUACAUGUGAUUCAGAGCGGUCUGGAUGUCAUACAGAAUAUGUAUCAUGCUUCCAUUUUAAGGUCAGGCAUAUUCAAGGUCUGAAAAGAUCUGUUUUGCUCCACUGUAAAUGUGUGCAUUAACCUUACCCAGGAUCUGAAAACCUUUAGGAUUACAACAUAUAUAUACGUCAAGAAUGCUUUUAAAGGAAAAAGACCUUUUGAACUGUGAAUCUUUUUUUUUUCAGUCAUUUAAAACUGAAGACUGCUUGACAGGUUUUUAACAGAACAAAAGCAAAGCUGGAGAGACCUGGUGGAAAGGGCUCUACUGUUUGUUCGACUAGUUCUUUGGACUGAAAUAUGCCUAAUUACAGUGUUUUAAUGUAUGUAACAUGGCACAUACAGAAUCAAAGAAUUUAACUGUUGAAGUUCAGAAUCUUCUUAACAAUUCCAGAUAUUGUAAUCUUUUUAUUGCUGUUUUUUUUAAAGUGUCAUAAAUAUAAUUUAAUCAUUAUCUUUAAAUAUACAAUAUAACAAUAACUAAUUUUCAGAUUCCGAUAUUUUUUGAAAAUACUACUGAAAUAACUCAUAAUGUGCAUUUUUAGCUGCAUAUUGUCUGACAAACAAGCAAUUAGUGACAUAAGUAAGUGUCUGUAAGUAGUAGCUGUAAGUUGUAUUUGUUUAAUUUACUGAAAAGAAACAGUUCAUAGGAGUUAAUCAUUUUGUAAUGAGUACAACUCUGGUUAUGCUGUAUGGUUUUGAUUCAUUUAAAAGAAUCCAUUCGUGACAGGCAUUAAUGCAGGAGUUCAGUAACACUGGUUCUGCUGUAUGUUUGACUCACUAAAAAGAACCAGUUCGUAAGAGUCAUUUAUUGGGAGUCAGUAAGACACUGGCUGUGCUCUUUGUUCCUGAUUCAUUAAAAAAAUCAUACAUUCAGGACCAUUC
This is a long non-coding RNA of Puntigrus tetrazona (Sumatra barb), 3704 nucleotides long. RefSeq lists it as uncharacterized. The transcript is spliced from 9 exons. NCBI's taxonomy places the organism in Eukaryota, Metazoa, Chordata, Actinopteri, Cypriniformes, Cyprinidae. The record is from RefSeq and is a predicted model, not a curated record.